GUGGGGAAUAUUGGGCAAUGGGCGAAAGCCUGACCCAGCAACGCCGCGUGAAGGAAGAAGGUUUUCGGAUCGUAAACUUCUAUCCUUGGUGAAGAUAAUGACGGUAGCCAAGAAGGAAGCCCCGGCUAACUACGUGCCAGCAGCCGCGGUAAUACGUAGGGGGCAAGCGUUGUCCGGAAUGAUUGGGCGUAAAGGGCGCGUAGGCGGCCUGGUAAGUCUGGAGUGAAAGUCCUGCUUUUAAGGUGGGAAUUGCUUUGGAUACUGUCGGGCUUGAGUGCAGGAGAGGUAAGUGGAAUUCCCGGUGUAGCGGUGAAAUGCGUAGAGAUCGGGAGGAACACCAGUGGCGAAGGCGACUUACUGGACUGUAACUGACGCUGAGGCGCGAAAGUGUGGGGAGCAAACAGGAUUAGAAACCCUAGUAGUCC
Molecule: ribosomal RNA, 425 nt
Filed under: uncultured bacterium
Lineage: Bacteria
Description: partial 16S ribosomal RNA
Rfam family: Bacterial small subunit ribosomal RNA
Source: RNAcentral